GAUGAACGCUAGCGGCAGGCUUAAUAUAUGCAAGUUGAGGGGCAGCAUGAUAUACGCGAGUAUAUUGAUGGCGACCGGCGGACGGGUGAGUAAUAGGUAGGAGACCUACCUCAUACAGGGGGAUAGCAUAGAGAAAUCUGUGGUAAUACCCCAUGAGGUUAUAUGAAUAGAGGCAUAUAAUCAAAGCAUAAGCGAUUAUGCGGUAUGAGAGGGGCCUACUGACCAUUAGCUAGUUGGUGAGGUAAGGGCUCACCAAGGCGAAGAUGGUUAGGGGUUUUGAGAGAGAGACCCCCCACAUUGGAACUGAGAGACGGUCCAGACUCCUACGGGAGGCAGCAGUAGGGAAUAUUGGGCAAUGGGCGAAAGCCUGACCCAGCCAUGCCGCGUGAAGGAAGACGGCCUUAGGGUUGUAAACUUCUUUACUACGCGAAUAGAGGUUAGUACGAGAUACUAAUAGGAAGGUAGUGUAGUAAAAGCAACCGGCUAACUCCGUG
Molecule: ribosomal RNA, 494 nt
Filed under: uncultured bacterium
Lineage: Bacteria
Description: bacterial SSU rRNA
Rfam family: Bacterial small subunit ribosomal RNA
Source: RNAcentral